RNAcentral lists this long non-coding RNA (315 nucleotides) under Androctonus crassicauda. The record is from RNAcentral. Lineage: Eukaryota; Metazoa; Arthropoda; Arachnida; Scorpiones; Buthidae.
AAACAUAGUUUGAAAAUGUUAAUGAUAAAACUUUUGAAAUUUUUUAUUAUUAUUGAUAGAUCAUCUAGAAUAGUAAUUCUCAACAUGGCUAUAUGGUUUCCCAGGGAGCCACAGAAACUAAGAAAUUCAAAAGGAGGAGCCAUGAAAAAAAGAUUGAGAAAUACUAAUCUAGAUUCAUCUCUUAUCUACAUGCUAUUUUUAGUGAAGAAAUUAUAUGCUUUUUAUUUUUAUAGACACAAAACGUAUCCUUUAAUUUCAUUAAUUUAAUAAGAUAAUAUUACUGAUGCUAAAAGCAUUAAGUCAUGUAAGAAAAAC